Long non-coding RNA from Myotis davidii, 491 nucleotides. RefSeq lists it as uncharacterized. The record is from RefSeq and is a predicted model, not a curated record. The transcript is spliced from 3 exons. NCBI's taxonomy places the organism in Eukaryota, Metazoa, Chordata, Mammalia, Chiroptera, Vespertilionidae.
CCGCUGACAGCCUGUGUUCAGGGACUUUUCUCCCGAUGACAUUUCACUUUCGCUGGCAUUUCCAGGAAGAGCAGCCGGGCCUUGACCGAUGUGUCUUGGGAGCCGAUGAGACCAGUGUGUUGCUUCCGAAGCUCCCAGCGCUCCUGUGUGUCUAGCAGGACAGUCGCGUCAAUGAACAAGAAUACGAAUCGGCCUGGCAGGUCCCUGCCCCUCGUAGCUUUCGGAGAGUGACCAACCAGAUGGGGAAUAGGAGCUGUUGGCGCGUGAAGAGCAGUGAUCACGGUAAUGCAGGAACAUCAAGAUGGUGCCGUUCCUGUUUCCAAGGCAACAACAGGUCUACACAGCAUGAAUUUACAUCUGCACCAAGAAGUACUUUAUACAACUCCUGGAAAGCAGUGAUCUGGGCCCUGAGAUGAUGUGCUCCUGAGUUGCUUCUUCUGUUUUCCAGUAACAUGUAUGAUUAGCCAUAUUCAUGAACAUCCUGAAAGUUA